This 468-nucleotide ribosomal RNA is filed under the name uncultured bacterium. RNAcentral describes it as "partial 16S ribosomal RNA". It matches the Rfam family "Bacterial small subunit ribosomal RNA", at positions 28 to 507 of the family's 1533-position model. The record is from RNAcentral.
GACGAACGCUGGCGGCGUGCUUAACACAUGCAAGUCGAACGGAAAGGCCCUGCGUUUGUGGGGCGCUCGUGUGGCGAACGGGUGAGUAUCACGUGAGUAACCUGCCCUUGUCUUUGGGAGAACUUUAGGAAACUGGGGCUAAUAUCGGAUAGGAGCUCCUGCUCCGUGGGGGGGGUUGGAUAGUUUCGGCGGUUGGGGAUGGACUAGAGGCUUAUCAGCUUGUUGGUGGAGUAGUUGAGGACCAAGGGUUUGACGGGUAGGCGGCCUGAGAGGGUGACCGGCCACAUUAGGACUGCGGUAGGGCGCAGACUCGAACGGGAGGCAACGGUGGGGAGUAUUACACAGUGGGCGGGAGCCUGAUGCGGACACGCCGCGAUCGGGAAGACGGGCUUCGGGUUGUGAACCGCUUUCGCCUGUGACGAAGCGUGAGUGACGGUAAUGGGUAAAGAAGCACCGGCUAACUACGUG